Molecule: ribosomal RNA, 497 nt
Filed under: uncultured bacterium
Lineage: Bacteria
Description: partial 16S ribosomal RNA
Rfam family: Bacterial small subunit ribosomal RNA
Source: RNAcentral
GACGAACGCUGGCGGCGUGCCUAAUACAUGCAAGUUGAGCGCUGAAGGUUGGUACUUGUACCAACUGGAUGAGCAGCGAACGGGUGAGUAACGCGUGGGGAAUCUGCCUUUGAGCGGGGGACAACAUUUGGAAACGAAUGCUAAUACCGCAUAAAAACUUUAAACACAAGUUUUAAGUUUGAAAGAUGCAAUUGCAUCACUCAAAGAUGAUCCCGCGUUGUAUUAGCUAGUUGGUGAGGUAAAGGCCCACCAAGGCGAUGAUACAUAGCCGACCUGAGAGGGGAAUCGGCCACAUUGGGACUGGAACACGGCCCAAACUCCUACGGGAGGCAGCAGUAGGGAAUCUUCGGCAAUGGACGAAAGUCUGACCGAGCAACGCCGCGUGAGUGAAGAAGGUUUUCGGAUCGUAAAACUCUGUUGGUAGAGAAGAACGUUGGUGAGAGUGGAAAGCUCAUCAAGUGACGGUAACUACCCAGAAAGGGACGGCUAACUACGUG